RNAcentral lists this long non-coding RNA (1913 nucleotides) under Homo sapiens (human). RNAcentral describes it as "HSALNT0407204". The record is from RNAcentral. Lineage: Eukaryota; Metazoa; Chordata; Mammalia; Primates; Hominidae.
UGCUUGCUAGUAAAAGCUAUCCCUCUAUAUGAAACAUAUGAAUAUGUAUUAGAUAAGUGCUUAUCAAACUAUGGCUUGGGGGCAAAAUCUGGCUCUUUGCUUGGUUUUGUAAAGAAAAUUUUAUUGGAACACAGCCAUGCUCAUUUGAUUAUAUAUUGUCUAAGACUGCUUUCAUGCUACAACAGCAGAGAUAAGUAGUUGUGAUCAAGAGUGUGUGGCCCAUAAAAUCCUAAAAUAUGAACUCUCUGGCCCUUUACAGAUAGUUGGGAAUGUAUGUGUGUGUCCACAUGUGUGUAUCCCCUCCUGGAAUCUUGUUAAGACUUGUUACACUUUUUAAAACAUGUCAGCACACUGAAGCCAUCUCAGAAUGUAUUCAAAUAUAAAUUAUAAUUUUUUUUACCUCUAACAUUAGCUAAAUGUCCCUACUUGAUAAUCUAUCUAUUAUGCUAAAAUUGACUUAUAUUUGUCAGGCCUUAAUUACAAAGCAAAACAUUUGAAAUUUUCCUUUCCAGUUUGACAUUUUCUAUCCAGCUUGCAUUUCCCAAGUCAUUAAGAUUGUAAUAGUAAAAGUGCUGAUAUUAUCAAGGAAGUCAAAUUAGUAAUGCUAAAAAUAAUAUUAGCUGUCAAGAGGAUUUCCUCAAUAUAGCUUUCUUCUCCUGACUGUUUUUUUUUUUGGUCCAUUUUUAAAUUAUUUCCUUCCUCUUUUUUUAUUUUAGUCAAAUACUCUCUCUCUCUCUGUGUGUGUGUGUGUGUGUGUGUGUGUGUGUGUGUGUGUGUGUAUGCAUAUGUAUGCAUAAGUUACUCUUGUUUAAAACAAGCAUUCUUUAUUGAUCUUCACCAGUUGGUUUCUCCACUGUUAGAAAGAGAUUCCUGGAAGAAAAAAGAUGCACUUUACUCAGCGUGCCCAAUAUAGAUUUCAAAGACUUUUUUACUAUUGAGAUAUACUGUUACAAGAGCUGUGGGAGUUUACAAAAUGACCACCAAGUGGGUAUGAUGAAAAUAAUCAGGUUAAAAUUAUUCCUUUUAGUUACACAUCUAGAACAGUACACCCACACCUCAUAGUAAGAGUGGUAAAUUACUAUCCUACCUUCUGUUAUUAUUGCUUAUGCUCUCUCUCCCUGCCUCUUCACUCUCUCAUUCACUCAGAUAGACAGAUAAACACAUUCACACACUCAUACUUACAUAUAACUGUUACCCCAUCAUCAUUAAACUGCUAAUACCCUACUUAAACUCAGAGAAUGAGUUAAGAAUAUUUUUCCUAGGAAUCUGUUUGGCUUCAAACCCUGGCUGCUUCUCAACACCCUCACCCUGCAGCCACUAAUCUUGGGAAAGUUUUAAAGCUAUCUCUAUCGCGGUUUCCUUAUGUAUAAAUGGGAAGAAUAGUACCUUUCAUUGGAUCGUUGUAAAUAUUAAAUAUGGUAACACCUGUUGUUAUGGACUGAAUAUGUUCCCUCAAAAUUCAUAUAUUGAAGCACUAACCCCCAAUGUGAUGGUAUUUGGAGGUGGGGCCUUUGGGAGAUAAUUAGAUUUACAUGAUGUCAUAAGGGCGGGCAGGACUUCAUGGUGGGAUUGGUGCCAUUAUAAGAAGAAAAGAUACCAGAGUCCUCCUUCUCCGCCAUGUGAGAAUGAAGAGAGAAGGAGUCUAUCUACAAGCCAGGAAGCCAGCCCUCACAAGGAACCAAAUCUAUCAGCACCUUGAUCUUGGACUUUCCAGCUUCCAGAACUGUGAGAAAUAAAUCCCUAUUGCUUAUGUCACCCAGUCUAUGGUAUUGUUGUGGAGCAGCCCUAGCUAGGACAUCUGUAAAUGACAAGUUCUAUACUACUAUAUAGGACUGCUGGAUAAAUGCUAGCUAUUCCCAUUUCCCUCUGAGAACUGAAAUACCUGAAACUUCUAUUAAAAGUCUUUGUAUUCC